AUGACAUGUUGAUCGGGUCGUUAAAAAGCAUUAAGAGUCAUUAAAUAGAUUCUGCCAAAAUGAAGCCCUUGAAUGGCAUUAAAAAGCAUUAAAUUUGAUGUCCAGAGGAUUUACAAAAUUAUAUACACUUGAUGGAAAAAAGAA
Long non-coding RNA from Sphaeramia orbicularis (orbiculate cardinalfish), 144 nucleotides. RefSeq lists it as uncharacterized. The record is from RefSeq and is a predicted model, not a curated record. The transcript has 3 exons. Lineage: Eukaryota; Metazoa; Chordata; Actinopteri; Kurtiformes; Apogonidae.